AAUACUGAACCCUCGUGAUGACGUACAUCCUGAACGCGGUACCCGCGGUGCGCGUCCUCUGCGGGUCGCGGAUUGUUUUGAGAUCUUUCUCUCCCUGCGGCAGGAUUUUGCAGUAGAGCGGGAGGUGGCAUCAGCAGCGAGCAGGCCCUGACACCUGGCCGCGAACCCGGGCCCGUGCACCACGGAGAUCCGCGCCGACACAAGAGCUGGAGACUUCCUCUUCAUCCCGGCAGACUCCGGCUUCAUAACAAGACCAGAGCUGGAGACCUUGCUCCUCACCCCGGCAGACUCCGGCGACAUAACACGACCAGAGUUGGAGACCUUUCUCCUCACCCCGGUAGACUCCGGCUACAUAACGCGAUCAGGUGAACGCGGUCUUGUCGCGGGCUGCAGUUUCGUGAUCGCGAGGGUCUGCAGUUUGGCGCAGUCUUCUGCACCACUGGCCCGACCUGGAAGCUGACGGGACGUUGGUGCUGGGACCAUGCGGGACUGAACAGCACGCCCGUAGUGAUCGUCAACUCAGAGCGAUGACUUGCCGGGCGUGCCGACUCGCGCACCGCCGCGAGGGCCGGCCGGCCGGUGCAGACUCGUAGCCGUGAGCGUCUAUCCGUCCGCAGACUCGUGACUCCCAGCGAUGGACGCGGUGGACUGAUGCUGCGCGGCCCGUGGACCCGAGCUGUGGGACCCGGGGUGGAGCUGGACUGUGGGACCUAAGGGGACCUGGAUUGUGGGGCCUGAGGGAGACCCGAACUCUUUGGCAUGAGGGAGACCUGGACGGUGGGGCCUGAGGGAGACCCGAACUGGGGCAUGAGGGAGACCUGCACUGAGCGACAUGACGGGUACCCGCACGAUUAUACAACUGGUGUGGGGCCUGACGGGGACCCGGACUGUGGGACCUGACGGGGACUGGGACUCUGGGAUCUAGCGGGGACCCGGACUGCGGGACCUGAGGGGACCCGGACUGUGGGGUAUGAGGGGGGAUCCGGACUGAGCGACAUGACGGGUACCCGCACGAUUAUACUACAACUGGUGUGGGGCCUGACGGGGACCCGGACCGCGGGACCUGACGGGGACCCGGACGGUGAGACCUGACGGGACCCUGACUGGGUCCUGACGGGGAUCCGGGCCGUGGGACCUGAGUUGAAUGGUGUUGGCAGCCGCCCGUACACGUCGCAGUGGAGCGUUUCUGUCUGCCAACAGGAAACACUACGGUCGGCAGGGUGGAAGGCUCACUUUUUUGCGGUUUGGCGGUGCCGGGUGUCGUUACCCUUUCAUAUUUUUACACUGGUGAAGGGUGGCACGCCAUCCUGGCAGCCGCUGGACCAAAACGAUCGGGCGGCGGACGCCGGGGAAGCCGGCGUCCCCCCCCCCCCCCCCCCCACCGGCACUGACGCGGCAAAUACCGGCGCGCUCGACAUACCAGACUGCGUUGGUGUAACGGAUCACGGCCAGUGUUACUUGUUGGGACUCCGGUGCUCAGUCGGCGCGAGGCUGGUGCUGGCGCGGACACGCGGGAAGGCGGCUUUUUCACACCGACGGGCGGUAGCCUUCCCGUGUCAAAACGUCUUGCUUCCACUUGCCAGAACGUAUUGCCUUCACGUGCCAAAACGUAUUGCCUUCACGUGCCAAAGCGUCUUGCCUCCACGUGCCAAAACGUCCUCAGCCCGCCCCGAGUGGUCGCCUUUAUUGGGCAGCGAACAGCGUAGCCAGCCAUGCAUUGCGUGGCUUGCAGCGUCGUUCGUGCGGAUGUGUCCGGUGCUCAGACCGGCGCGCCGCGGUGACUGGCACGGCCUCUCCCCGUACGGCAGCGCGCGGUGAACCAUACGGCCGAAGGCCGACGCCGGCCACUUAUGCGGGCGCCCACUUUGUUAUAACUCUUCGGCGAAUAUACGUCCAGACUGAC
Molecule: long non-coding RNA, 1903 nt
Organism: Pollicipes pollicipes
Lineage: Eukaryota; Metazoa; Arthropoda; Thecostraca; Pollicipedomorpha; Pollicipedidae
Exons: 4
Source: RefSeq, a predicted model, not a curated record